This 228-nucleotide unclassified non-coding RNA is filed under the name Hevea brasiliensis (rubber tree). Lineage: Eukaryota; Viridiplantae; Streptophyta; Magnoliopsida; Malpighiales; Euphorbiaceae. The record is from RNAcentral.
GGAACUUUAUGUGAUUUGCUAACAUGACAUGCAUUGCAAGGAAUAGAAGAUAAAUUAUCUUUAUUGAAAGGUAACUUAUUGUGAGUAAUAACAUGACGAACUAGACGAGUAUUGACAUGCCCUAAAUAUAGGACUAAAAUUAUUGGACAAAUGAAGAGGCAUGAUAUACAAUUCAUAUUUACUCUGGCCUUGAUGAAGAAUCCACUUCGUAGGUAUAUCCUUAACAAA